Molecule: small nuclear RNA, 107 nt
Filed under: Castor canadensis (American beaver)
Lineage: Eukaryota; Metazoa; Chordata; Mammalia; Rodentia; Castoridae
Source: RNAcentral
AUGCUCCCUUUGCCAGCAUAUAUGCUAAAAUUGGAAUGACACAGAGAAGAUUAACAUGGCCCCUGUGCAAGGAUGACAUGCAAAUUCAUGAAGCAUUCCAUAAAAAA